Unclassified non-coding RNA from Nomascus leucogenys (northern white-cheeked gibbon), 278 nucleotides. Its record names the gene 7SK. It matches the Rfam family "7SK RNA". Rfam says of the family: 7SK was discovered as an abundant small nuclear RNA in the mid-70s but a possible function has only recently been suggested. Two independent studies have found that 7SK RNA binds the CDK9/cyclin T complex (known as elongation factor P-TEFb). NCBI's taxonomy places the organism in Eukaryota, Metazoa, Chordata, Mammalia, Primates, Hylobatidae. The record is from Ensembl.
GGAUGUGAGGGCCAUCUAUUCACAACAUCUGUCACCAUAUUGAUCACCAAGGUUGAUGUGGCUGCCAACCUGGCUGGCUAUGCGGCUGUGCCCUUCCUCCCUCACUGCCCCACGUACAUCCUUGCCAAAGCUCUGUGCUUGGUUGAAGAGAACUAUCUUCCCGGAUAAAAUGGUUAAGUGGUACAAGUUUUACAAGCAGUCUUCAGCUUCAAAUUGAAAAUCACUUAAUUAUAAAAAUACUUCUAUUCUUUUCAAUGAUUUAUGAAAUAAAAAUAUAG